AUUUGGACUUUUUCUUUUCAGAUUAUUUUUGACUACUGAAUUUGUAUAUGUCUAUAAAAAAUAAAAUAAUAUAUAAUUAACAGUACAUUAAUUUCUUCAUAUUUGAAAAUUUGACAAAUUUUAAAUCUACCUCUGCUAAAGAGAGAGAAUUAGAAUUCUCAAUUUCCAUCUAAUCACAUGUAUUGGAUGACAAGCCAGGAUCAUGAGCUUCGAUUUCUAUAUCAGGUAACUUUAGUGGAUCCCAAUCAUGGACGAAAUUGUAUAACCAUUUUGCAAAUUAAUAAAAUAUUAUUAUAUCAAUUCAAAUGUAUUUAAAUUCACAAUUUUGCCAAUUCAAAAUUUAAAUAUAUUAAUAUAAAUUACAAACAUUAUGAUGAUUGAAAAUAUAUAAACCGUUUUCUUACUUUUUUUAAAUGGAACAGCACCAGAAAUUAAUCUUUUUUUUUUCUCAGUGGAGGAAAAACACCAAUCUUCAAAAUGAUCUCUACAUAUUUUAUAAUGUUUAUACAAAAUGCUAUGUAUUUAUCAAAACUGUUUACCAGUAUGUACAAAAAUUGAUAGCCAGGUGGCUGGCGGAAAAAUGUACAUUUAUGAAAAGACAAAAUAUACCAUCUAUAGAGAGGAAUUGUUUUUAUUCAAAAGCAAUAUGCAUUUUUGGAUGACAAAAUAUCAAAU
Molecule: long non-coding RNA, 675 nt
Filed under: Androctonus crassicauda
Lineage: Eukaryota; Metazoa; Arthropoda; Arachnida; Scorpiones; Buthidae
Source: RNAcentral